This 253-nucleotide ribosomal RNA is filed under the name uncultured bacterium. RNAcentral's name for it is "partial 16S ribosomal RNA". It matches the Rfam family "Bacterial small subunit ribosomal RNA", at positions 524 to 776 of the family's 1533-position model. The record is from RNAcentral.
UACAUGGGGUGCAAACGUUGCUCGGAAUUAUUGGGCGUAAAGCGCACGUAGGCGGUUCGUUAAGUCGGAUGUGAAAGCCCUCGGCUCAACUGAGGAAGUGCACCCGAAACUGGCGAGCUUGAGUACGAAAGAGGAUCGCGGAAUUCCCGGUGUAGAGGUGAAAUUCGUAGAUAUCGGGAGGAAGACCAGUGGCGAAGGCGGAUCUCUGGACAAAUCCUGACGCUGAGGCGCGAAGGCUAGGGGAGCAAACGGG